UAUUAUGAAGGGUAUUGAGCAGUUCGAGCCUUGUAGGAUCUAAUUUUAUGCUUAAGUAGAUUGUAGAUUAUGAACAUGGUACUAGGGUGGCCAUAUUUAAUCCUACACCCAAUGUGAAAUAGGAAAUCUCAAUUUUAUCUCCCUCAGUAUGUAUGUAUGUAUGUAUGUAUGUAUGUAUGUUUGUUUGUAUGUAUGUAUGUAUGUAUGUAUGUAUGUAUGUAUGUAUGUAUGUAUGUAUGUAUGUAUGUAUGACUGGAUUCAAGUUCCUAUGGCUCUGGCUUUAGUUUUGCAAC
RNAcentral lists this long non-coding RNA (293 nucleotides) under Gossypium barbadense (sea-island cotton). RNAcentral's name for it is "long non-coding RNA (GBAR_LNC019605)". The record is from RNAcentral. Lineage: Eukaryota; Viridiplantae; Streptophyta; Magnoliopsida; Malvales; Malvaceae.